This 741-nucleotide ribosomal RNA is filed under the name bacterium NOTE. RNAcentral's name for it is "bacterial SSU rRNA". It matches the Rfam family "Bacterial small subunit ribosomal RNA", at positions 59 to 850 of the family's 1533-position model. The record is from RNAcentral.
AAGUCGACGAACUCUUCGGAGUUAGUGGCGGACGGGUGAGUAACACGUGGGAACGUGCCUUUAGGUUCGGAAUAACUCAGGGAAACUUGUGCUAAUACCGAAUGUGCCCUUCGGGGGAAAGAUUUAUCGCCUUUAGAGCGGCCCGCGUCUGAUUAGCUAGUUGGUGGGGUAAUGGCCCACCAAGGCGACGAUCGGGGCUGGUCUGAGAGGAUGACCAGCCACAUUGGGACUGAGACACGGCCCAAACUCCUACGGGAGGCAGCAGUGGGGAAUCUUGCGCAAUGGGCGAAAGCCUGACGCAGCCAUGCCGCGUGGAUGAUGAAGGUCUUAGGAUUGUAAAAUCCUUUCACCGGUGAAGAUAAUGACUGUAGCCGGAGAAGAAGCCCCGGCUAACUUCAUGCCAGCAGCCGCGGUAAUACCAAGGGGGCUAGCGUUGCUCGGAAUUACUGGGCGUAAAGGGAGCGUAUGCGGACAUUUAAGUCAGGGGUGAAAUCCCGAGGCUCAACCUCGGAACUGCCUUUGAUACUGGGUGUCUUGAGUGUGAGAGAGGUGAGUGGAACUCCGAGUGUAGAGGUGAAAUUCGUAGAUAUUCGGAAGAACACCAGUGGCGAAGGCGACUCACUGGCUCAUUACUGACGCUGAGGCUCGAAAGCGUGGGGAGCAAACAGGAUUAGAUACCUGGUAGUCCACGCCGUAAACGAUGAUUGCUAGUUGUCGGGGAGCUUGCUCUUCGGUGACGCA